CACGUACUGUGCGAACGUUAUUCGGAAUCACUGGGCUUAAAGGGUACGUAGGCGGUUUACCAAGUCAGAUGUGAAAUGCUACAGCUCAACUGUAGCACUGCGUUUGAAACUGGUAGGCUAGAGUAUUCCAGGGGUGUGCGGAACUUAUGGUGGAGCGGUGAAAUGCGUUGAUAUCAUGAGGAACACCGGAGGCGAAGGCGGCACACUGGGGGAUAACUGACGCUGAGGUACGAAAGCCAGGGUAGCGAACGGG
Molecule: ribosomal RNA, 253 nt
Filed under: uncultured bacterium
Lineage: Bacteria
Description: partial 16S ribosomal RNA
Rfam family: Bacterial small subunit ribosomal RNA
Source: RNAcentral